GGUGCGGUGGCCAAGUGGUAAGGCUUUGGUCUCGGAAACCAAAGAUCAUGGGUUCAAUCCCCAUCCAUACCG
RNAcentral lists this transfer RNA (72 nucleotides) under Anguilla anguilla (European eel). It matches the Rfam family "tRNA". Rfam says of the family: Transfer RNA (tRNA) molecules are approximately 80 nucleotides in length. Their secondary structure includes four short double-helical elements and three loops (D, anti-codon, and T loops). Lineage: Eukaryota; Metazoa; Chordata; Actinopteri; Anguilliformes; Anguillidae. The record is from Rfam by way of RNAcentral.